This 164-nucleotide ribosomal RNA is filed under the name uncultured bacterium. RNAcentral's name for it is "partial 16S rRNA". It matches the Rfam family "Bacterial small subunit ribosomal RNA", at positions 355 to 511 of the family's 1533-position model. The record is from RNAcentral.
UAGGGAAUCUUCGGCAAUGGACGAAAGUCUGACCGAGCAACGCCGCGUGAGUGAAGAAGGUUUUCGGAUCGUAAAACUCUGUUGUUAGAGAAGAACAAGGGUGAGAGUAACUGUUCACCCCUUGACGGUAUCUAACCAGAAAGCCGCGGCUAACUACGAGCCAG